AGGGCCGGGCGGGCAGCCGCCCCUUCGGGGGAGGAAAGUCCGGGCACCACAGGGCAGGGCGCCGGGUAGCACCCGGUUCCGGCAACGGAAAGAAAGCGCCACAGAAACGAAACCGCCGCCAUGCGGCAAGGGUGAAAAGGUGGGGUAAGAGCCCACCGGGACCGGGGCAAUCCGGUUCGCAAGGCAAGCCUCGCCCGGUGCAAGGCCUAAUAGGGAGGGAGUCCCCGCGGACUGGGAGUCGCCCGCUCCCCGAACCUCCGGGUCGGCCGCUGGAGGCUCCGGGCAACCGGAGUCCUAGAUGGAUGGCUGCCGCCUUUCGAGGCACAGAACCCGGCUUACAGCCCGACCCUGCCC
Molecule: RNase P RNA, 354 nt
Filed under: Candidatus Fermentibacter danicus
Lineage: Bacteria; Pseudomonadati; Candidatus Fermentibacterota; Candidatus Fermentibacteria; Candidatus Fermentibacterales; Candidatus Fermentibacteraceae
Also listed under: 1 other name
Description: RNase P RNA component class A
Rfam family: Bacterial RNase P class A
About the family: Ribonuclease P (RNase P) is a ubiquitous endoribonuclease, found in archaea, bacteria and eukarya as well as chloroplasts and mitochondria. Its best characterised activity is the generation of mature 5'-ends of tRNAs by cleaving the 5'-leader elements of precursor-tRNAs.
Source: RNAcentral